This 73-nucleotide ribosomal RNA is filed under the name Pseudoalteromonas sp. S1727. Lineage: Bacteria; Pseudomonadati; Pseudomonadota; Gammaproteobacteria; Alteromonadales; Pseudoalteromonadaceae. The record is from RNAcentral.
CUUGGUGACAAUAGCGUUUUGGACCCACCUGACCCCAUGCCGAACUCAGUAGUGAAACGAAACAGCUCCGAUG